UGGGGAAUAUUGCACAAUGGGCGAAAGCCUGAUGCAGCAACGCCGCGUGAGUGAUGAAGGUCUUCGGAUUGUAAAGCUCUGUCUUUUGGGACGAUAAUGACGGUACCAAAGGAGGAAGCCACGGCUAACUACGUGCCAGCAGCCGCGGUAAUACGUAGGUGGCGAGCGUUGUCCGGAUUUACUGGGCGUAAAGGGUGCGUAGGCGGAUGUUUAAGUGAGAUGUGAAAUACCCGGGCUUAACUUGGGUGCUGCAUUUCAAACUGGAUAUCUAGAGUGCAGGAGAGGAGAAUGGAAUUCCUAAUGUAGCGGUGAAAUGCGUAGAGAUUAGGAAGAACACCAGUGGCGAAGGCGAUUCUCUGGACUGUAACUGACGCUGAGGCACGAAAAGCGUGGGUAGCAAACAGGAUUAGAUACCCUGGUAGUCCACGCCGUAAAACGAUGAGUACUAGGUGUAGGAGGUAUCGACCCCUUCUGUGCCGCAGUAAAACACAUUAAGUACUCCGCCUGGGAAGUACGAUCGCAAGAUU
Molecule: ribosomal RNA, 527 nt
Filed under: uncultured bacterium
Lineage: Bacteria
Description: partial 16S ribosomal RNA
Rfam family: Bacterial small subunit ribosomal RNA
Source: RNAcentral